UGGGAUAGUUCAGUUGGUGGAGCAUGAGGCUCUUAAUUUCAUGGUUGUUGGUUUGAGCCCCACACAGAGAAAAA
Podarcis lilfordi (Lilford's wall lizard) is the source of this 74-nucleotide non-coding RNA. The record is from the annotation of a GenBank genome assembly. Lineage: Eukaryota; Metazoa; Chordata; Lepidosauria; Squamata; Lacertidae.